Molecule: RNA transcript, 2186 nt
Organism: Nomascus leucogenys (northern white-cheeked gibbon)
Lineage: Eukaryota; Metazoa; Chordata; Mammalia; Primates; Hylobatidae
Gene name: 60S ribosomal protein L7a-like
Exons: 1
Source: RefSeq, a predicted model, not a curated record
UCGGCCUCCCAAAGUGCUAGGAUAACAGGCCUGAGCCACCACACCUGGCCUCCCUCUUUCUUUUCUGAUUCCAUCUAGCAUAUUGAUUUCGUUUGUUUUAGCUUUUCUUUUAGUUAUCUUUGUAAUUUACAGUUAAACCUUUAUUUCUUCUUUAUGAACUCUAGGCAGUAUCUCUUACCCCCCUACUUUAGAAGAUAAGAUGGAGAGUGUAGUGUCCUUUCUCAUACUUCCGUGUGGAGAAAGCCAAGUAUACGUUUAGGGGAAACCCAGAGGAAGAGGGAUGACUCACCCCACCAGCCUUAGAGCAUCUUAGCAACUGGGACAUCAGAUGUGUUGCAGAGCCAUUGUGAGACAAGGUGGUAGACUGUGAGUUUACAUAAGGGCCUGCAGACCCCCUUCCUGUUCACACAUUUGCAUUCAGAUGCUGGCUGUCCAGGCCCAAGACUUAGUUAUUUUCUGAAGAAACUGAAUGACCCUGGAAAAAAGACCUCUCAUACUGAUGUUGGGGUCAUCUAGGGAAAAGACUUGCCUCCCUGGUGAAUCACGCACAAGUGAUGUCUUCCAGCAAUCAAGACUCAACCCUGUCCACAGAAUUCCUGAUUAGUGCUGAACUGUUAAAAAAAAAGCAGACAAAAUAAAAAUCCAAACAAACAAAAUUCCAAACUUUGGAGAGGUAUGUGCGUGGAGGGGAGGCAAAUGGGUUAAAAAAAAUAGUGCUAAUGAUUGAAGCCAGGGGUUCAGCACAUAGGAAGCUCAUUGUUCUAUUCUUUUUUCUUUUGUGUAUGUUGAAAAUUUUCACUAAUAAAAAGUUUUAAAAUUAAACAAAAAGAGCAGACUACCAAGGAUCACUAGAAAAGUGAGGAAAGCUUCUAAUAUGAAGAUUAAAAACGAGAAAAAGUUAAAAAACAGCUAACUGGCCUCCCACUGCCCAAGACGCUGAAAGGAAAGAAGGCCAAGGGGAAGAAGGUGGCUCCGGCCCCUGCUGUUGUGAAGAAGCAGGAGGCCAAGAAAGUGGUGAACUCCCUGUUUGAGAAAAGGCCUAAGAAUUUUGGUAUUGGACAGGACAUCCAGCCCAAAAGAGACCUCACCUACUUUGUGAAAUGGCCUGCUAUGUCAGGCUGCAGCGGCAGAGAGCCAUCCUCUAUAAGCAGCUGAAAGUGCCUCCUGCGAUUAACCAGUUCACCCAGGCCCUGAACCGCCAAACGGUUACUCAACUGCGUAAGGUGGCCCACAAGUACAGACCAGAGACAAAGCAAGAGAAGAAGCAGAGGCUGUUGGCCCAGGCUGAGAAGAAAGCUGCUGGCAAAGGGGACGUCCCCACUAAGAGACCACCUGCCCUUCGAGCAGGAGUUAACACCAUCACCACCUUGGUGGAGAAAAAGAAAGCUCAGCUGGUGGUGAUUGCACACGAUGUGGAUUCCAUUGAGCUGGUUGUCUUCUUGCCUGCCCUGUGUUGUAAAAUGGCGGUCCCUUACUGCAUUAUCAAGGGGAAGGCAAGACUGGGCUGUCUAGUCCACGGAAGACCUGCACCACUGUCGCCUUCACACAGGUGAACUUGGAAGACAAAGGCGCUUUGGCUAAGCUGGUGGAAGCUAUCAGGACCAAUGACAAUGACAGAUACGAUGGGAUGUGCUGUCACUGGGGAGGCAAUAUCUUGGGUCCAAAGUCUGUGGCUUGCGUUGCCAAGCUCCAAAAGGCAAAGGCUAAAGAACUUGCCACUAAACUGGGUUAAAUGUAUACUGUUGAGUUUUCUGUACACAAAAGUAAUGAAAAUAAUACAAAUUUUCCUUAAAAAAAAAAACAGCUAGCUGAAGAAAUAGAGUAAAACUUCACAUAAGCACUAACUGCUCUGUGAGAUAUGUGAAGAUAUUGCAUUCAUAUUGUAAAACUGGACAGGAUGCCUCAAAAAGGAAUUAUCAGGGAAAGAGAAAAUUAAAACUAUGAUUAUCCAAAUUUGAAAAUUAGUAAAAGCGUUAAGAAAUAUUUCAGAAAGGACGAGUAGAUAAAGAACAGUAAAUAUGAGAGAAAAGAUAAAAGAUGUGGUGGAGCCAUCCAUCUAAAAUCUUGCUAAUAGGAGUUCCAGAAAGAGAACAGAAAAUAAAGAGGAUGACAUGAUUAAGAAAUAAUACAGGCGGGGGUCUGGGUGCAGUGGCUCACACCUGUAAUCCCAACACUUUGGGAGGCUC